RNAcentral lists this ribosomal RNA (313 nucleotides) under uncultured Bacteroidales bacterium. RNAcentral's name for it is "bacterial SSU rRNA". It matches the Rfam family "Bacterial small subunit ribosomal RNA", at positions 28 to 339 of the family's 1533-position model. The record is from RNAcentral. Lineage: Bacteria; Pseudomonadati; Bacteroidota; Bacteroidia; Bacteroidales.
GAUGAACGCUAGCGGCAGGCUUAACACAUGCAAGUCGCGGGGCAGCGCGGGUAGCAAUACCUGGCGGCGACCGGCGGAAGGGUGCGUAACGCGUGAGCAACAUACCCGUAUCAGGGGGAUAACCGAUGGAAACGUCGCCUAAUACCCCAUAACAACAUUCUUCGCAUGGGGAGUGUUUGAAAGUUACGGCGGAUACGGAUUGGCUCGCGUGACAUUAGCUGGUUGGCGGGGUAACGGCCCACCAAGGCGACGAUGUCUAGGGGUUCUGAGAGGAAGGUCCCCCACACUGGAACUGAGACACGGUCCAGACUCC